UAGGGAAUCUUCGGCAAUGGGGGCAACCCUGACCGAGCAACGCCGCGUGAGUGAAGAAGGUUUUCGGAUCGUAAAGCUCUGUUGUAAGAGAAGAACGAGUGUGAGAGUGGAAAGUUCACACUGUGACGGUAACUUACCAGAAAGGGACGGCUAACUACGUGCCAGCAGCCGCGGUAAUACGUAGGUCCCGAGCGUUAUCCGGAUUUAUUGGGCGUAAAGCGAGCGCAGGCGGUUAGAUAAGUCUGAAGUUAAAGGCUGUGGCUUAACCAUAGUACGCUUUGGAAACUGUUUAACUUGAGUGCAGAAGGGGAGAGUGGAAUUCCAUGUGUAGCGGUGAAAUGCGUAGAUAUAUGGAGGAACACCGGUGGCGAAAGCGGCUCUCUGGUCUGUAACUGACGCUGAGGCUCGAAAGCGUGGGGAGCAAACAGGAUUAGAUACCCUGGUAGUCCACGCCGUAAACGAUGAGUGCUAGGUGUUGGGUCCUUUCCGGGACUCAGUGCCGCAGCUAACGCAUUAAGCACUCCACCUGGGGAGUACGACCGCAAGGNU
Molecule: ribosomal RNA, 549 nt
Filed under: uncultured bacterium
Lineage: Bacteria
Description: bacterial SSU rRNA
Rfam family: Bacterial small subunit ribosomal RNA
Source: RNAcentral